UACGGAGGAUCCGAGCGUUAUCCGGAUUUAUUGGGUUUAAAGGGUGCGCAGGCGGGAGAUUAAGUCGGCGGUGAAAUUUUGCAGCUCAACUGUAAAAGUGCCAUUGAUACUGGUUUCCUUGAGUGUGGAUGAAGUAGGCGGAAUUUGUGGUGUAGCGGUGAAAUGCAUAGAUAUCACGAGGAACUCCGAUUGCGCAGGCAGCUUACUAAACCAUAACUGACGCUCAGGCACGAAGGCGUGGGGAUCAAACAGGAUUAGAUA
This 261-nucleotide ribosomal RNA is filed under the name uncultured prokaryote. RNAcentral's name for it is "partial 16S ribosomal RNA". It matches the Rfam family "Bacterial small subunit ribosomal RNA", at positions 524 to 784 of the family's 1533-position model. The record is from RNAcentral.